This 472-nucleotide ribosomal RNA is filed under the name uncultured bacterium. Its description in RNAcentral is "partial 16S ribosomal RNA". It matches the Rfam family "Bacterial small subunit ribosomal RNA", at positions 29 to 507 of the family's 1533-position model. The record is from RNAcentral.
AUGAACGCUAGCGGCAGGCCUAAUACAUGCAAGUCGAACGGGCGGUAGCAAUACCGCUAGUGGCGCACGGGUGCGUAACGCGUAACCAACCUGCCCAGAUCUGGGGGAUAGCCCGCCGAAAGGCGGAUUAAUACCGCAUAAACCCACAGUGUGGCAUCACAUAAUGGGUAAAGAUUUAUCGGAUCUGGAUGGGGUUGCGUAGCAUUAGCUAGUUGGCGGGGUAAUGGCCCACCAAGGCGACGAUGCUUAGGGGACCUGAGAGGGUGAUCCCCCACACUGGCACUGAGAUACGGGCCAGACUCCUACGGGAGGCAGCAGUAGGGAAUAUUGGGCAAUGGGCGAGAGCCUGACCCAGCCAUGCCGCGUGCCGGAUGAAGGCCUUCUGGGUUGUAAACGGCUUUUCUCAGGGAAGAAAACGGGGAUGCGUCCUCAACUGACGGUACCCGAGGAAUAAGCACCGGCUAACUCCGUG